AUAGCGUAUAUUAAAGUUGUUGCAGUUAAAAAGCUCGUAGUUGAACUUCCGAUUUGGUCGGGUGGUCCGCUUAACGGCGUGUUACUGCUUGGCUGGGUCUUGUCUCUUGGUGAACCAUUGUGCCCUUUAUUGGUGUGCUUUGGGGAACCAGGACUUUUACCUUGAGAAAAUUAGAGUGUUCAAAGCAGGCCUAUGCCUGGAUACAUUAGCAUGGAAUAAUAGAAUAGGACGUGUGGUUCUAUUUUGUUGGUUUCUAGAAUUGCCGUAAUGAUUAAUAGGGAUAGUUGGGGGCAUUGGUAUUCAGUCGCUAGAGGUGAAAUUCUUGGAUUGACUGAAGACCGACUAUUG
This 348-nucleotide ribosomal RNA is filed under the name Ramariopsis kunzei. RNAcentral describes it as "SSU rRNA". It matches the Rfam family "Eukaryotic small subunit ribosomal RNA", at positions 594 to 945 of the family's 1831-position model. Lineage: Eukaryota; Fungi; Basidiomycota; Agaricomycetes; Agaricales; Clavariaceae. The record is from RNAcentral.